This is a long non-coding RNA of Homo sapiens (human), 1630 nucleotides long. Ensembl annotates it as hepatocellular carcinoma up-regulated long non-coding RNA. Its record names the gene HULC. Lineage: Eukaryota; Metazoa; Chordata; Mammalia; Primates; Hominidae. The record is from Ensembl.
UAGAUGAGCUGACAGACCCUGGCUGAGCAGGAAGUGGCAGGGUCAGGAAAAGCUAGGCCACAAGUUUUCCCUUGAGAGCCUUAGAGUCUAGCCCUGUCGCCCAGGCUGGAGUGCCAUGGUUUGAACUCUACUCACCGCAACCUCCACCUCCCAGGUUCAAAUGAUUCUCCUGCCUCAGCCUCCUGAAUAUCUGGGAUUACAGGCUGGAGUGCGAUGGCGCGAUCUCUACUCACUGCAACCUCCAUCUCCUGGGUUCAAGCAAUUCUCCCUCAGCCUCCCGAGUAGCUAGGACUACAGCCAGCAAGGGAGACAGUGUCUAGAGGCAGUCAUCUAGCAAGAUGGAGACUUACAACAUGAGGCACAUACAAGAGUGACCUCCCAUCGUCUUUGAGGCAUUCUAUUUCUUAGCCUCCCUCUGGAGCGAAGUGGCAUAAUCUCGGCUCACUGCAACCUCUGCCUCCCAGGUUCAAGCGAUUCUCAUGUCUCGGCCUCUUGAGUAACUGGGAUUACAGGUGUCUUUGUGAAGCUUCCUAUCUUUGCUUUUCAACUAAGAUGAAACAGCAUUUAAAAGAAAAUGCCAUGUGAGAUGAGAUCAGGAGAAUGGAUUCUUUCUUUCAUCUGAAUAGAGAGCUGCUGUUCGAGGUGAGAAAUUUUAGAAAGAACCAGCUAAGCAGUUGUGGCUUGGAAUUUCUUAACACGUUAAGAGACAGAGCAACUGUAGCUGGAACAGAGAUUCUAACUCAAAUAGCUCAAAGGACACCUUCUCCGGGAAACCUUCCCUGACUUCCGACGCUGUUUCCUGUUUUGCAGGAAAGAAUACACAAGCUCAGAAUCUCUUGGGCUGAGUGACAAAGGAGGAAAAGGGAUGGUUCCAAGUAGGAUUGGAGCUUCUGCUUCCUCACUUCCUCACGUAGCUCCAUCUGCCUCUUCAGAGAGCUCCCAUCUCCCACUGUGUGCAGCUGAGUUCCAAGCACUCCUGGCGGCAUAAUGACUGGGACAAAGAUAUUUCCUGCAGUUGUCAAUGGUGCUCCUAUACUGAAACUCUCCUAGGAACUUGGCCAAAUCUUCCUGCUCCCCAUCCCUGAUUUCUGUGAACAAGAGGGAAGACUUUGUCACACUUCUCAUUGGUGAUCAUAUUAAUUUCUAGGCCAUGUGUAUCUAGAUAUGAAAUAAUAUUUCUGUUAUUUUAAAAUAUAAGAUCCUUGGAAGAUGUCAUCUAUUGGAACAUGUAACUAUAUAGCCAGAAGAGGAGAUCACUAGAGCCAGACUGCUCUGUCUACAUACUUAAAAAGACAUUUGGAGGAAGAGAGCAUCUGCAAAUGUUGAUGAAAAUGGGUUUGGAACUUCUCUUUUGAUCAGGAAAUAGGUAGACCAUAAAAUGUCUGAUGCAUGUUGCUGCCUGAAGCAAACCCACAAUCUGGAACCCAGUCAUCUUGUUGCUCUAGAAAGCAUCAAGAGAAAAUGGAAGAAGGCUUAAAAGGCCCAUCACAUUUUAAUCUCUAUGGUUGGAUUAAUCAAAAGUUUUCAUAGUUUUACUAAAGAAAAAUGAGUGGUCAUUUAUACUUCAUCUCUAACAAGAAACUUUUUUGUCCAGUGCUCAAAAAUACAUAUGCUAUUAUGCUAUAGUUUC